Molecule: long non-coding RNA, 480 nt
Filed under: Rosa chinensis
Lineage: Eukaryota; Viridiplantae; Streptophyta; Magnoliopsida; Rosales; Rosaceae
Description: sRNA RchiOBHm_Chr7g0191111
Source: RNAcentral
UUGUAGAGGACGUUAAACCGAGCGCGUGCAUAUGUGGUACGUAAAAAUCGGAGUUCGUAUGCAAAAGUUAUAAGCGAAAUACUAAAGUUACUGUUCAUAUAGUAAGUUUCUAUAAAUAGCCGAGUUACUGUGGUAAGUUUCCAUUUUCGGAAACUUACCGAGAGCUCUCUUCUCUCUCCCCGAUUCUCUCUUCCUCUCCGACCUCUUCACCUUCUUCCGGCGAUAUCUCCUCCAUCCGGCGACGGAUUUUGACGUCAAUGAGAAGAAGAGGACGGUCACUGUAGCCGAACGGAGGUUUCAUCGAUUUCCGGCGAUUCCGGCCACCUCCGGUCCCCAUUUCGCCAUCGAAGGGCAAUGUCGCGAGCUACGGUUAGAUGAAGGAACUCGUUUGCGUGGUUGCCAAUAGUACUUUUGCAGGCGAAUUAGUGGAGGUCGGGCGUACAUGACAUUUGAGGCAUAGUUGUCACUACUUCCGCAGUG